UACCUUUCUCGAUUUAAUUUC
RNAcentral lists this non-coding RNA (21 nucleotides) under Caenorhabditis elegans. Lineage: Eukaryota; Metazoa; Nematoda; Chromadorea; Rhabditida; Rhabditidae. The record is from RNAcentral.